GACGAACGCUGGCGGCGUGCUUAACACAUGCAAGUCGAACGGAAAGGCCCUGCUUUUGUGUGUUGCUCGAGUGGCGAACGGGUGAGUAACACGUGAGUAACCUGCCCUUGACUUUGGGAUAACUUCAGGAAACUGGGGCUAUUACCGGAUAGGAGCUCCUGCUGCAUGGUGGGGGUUGGAAAGUUUCGGCGGUUGGGGAUGGACUCGCGGCUUAUCAGCUUGUUGGUGGGGUAGUGGCUUACCAAGGCUUUGACGGGUAGCCGGCCUGAGAGGGUUACCGGCCACAUUGGGACUGAGAUACGGACCAGAAUCCUACGGGAGGCAGCAGUGGGGAAUAUUGCACAAUGGGCGGAAGCCUGAGGCAGCAACGCCGCGUGCGGGAUGACGGCCUUCGGGUUGUAAACCGCUUUCGACUGUGACGAAGCGUGAGUGACGGUAAUGGGUAAAGAAGCACCGGCUAACUACGUG
Molecule: ribosomal RNA, 468 nt
Filed under: uncultured bacterium
Lineage: Bacteria
Description: partial 16S ribosomal RNA
Rfam family: Bacterial small subunit ribosomal RNA
Source: RNAcentral